CCCUAUUAUAUUUAGUAUAAUUUUAAUUUUGAGUAGUAAAUGGUUUGGUCAGGAAACUUAAAGAAUUUGGCGGUGUAUAUUCUGAUUAGAGGAAUAUGUUUUUUAAUUGAUAAUCCACAAGGAUCUUACUUGAGUUUAUUUAUUUUGUAUAUCUCCGUCUUAAAAUAAUUUUCUAAAAUAUUUUUUGUAUUUUAUAAUUUAAAAUAAGUCAGGUCAAGGUGCAGAUGAUACUUAAGAUAAAAUGUAUUACAAUAGAUUUAUCUUUGGAUUAAUAAUUUAAAUUUUUUAUGAAAUUGGAUUUAUAAGUAAUUUUUUUUAAAUAAUAAUUAAAUGAAUUGUGUUAAUAUAUAUGUACACAUCG
RNAcentral lists this ribosomal RNA (361 nucleotides) under Psocidus sp. Pt072.KA.03.31.2009.01. RNAcentral describes it as "partial 12S ribosomal RNA". Lineage: Eukaryota; Metazoa; Arthropoda; Insecta; Psocodea; Psocidae. The record is from RNAcentral.